GGAGGGUGGAGGCCGCCUUGGGGAACCUGCGGCAUGGGUGCACCCCAAACACCUUAUUUUUAGCUUUUUCUUGCUAUGCGUUUUUUUUCUCUGCCCCUGCAAGCCGUGGCAGCAUGGAGAGGGGUAAGUGCCCGGGGAGGGGAGGUGAGAGGUGGCCACUUGGCAUGGGCUCAGGCCUGGCCUUGCCACCAGCUGCCGCCACCGCCGCUGCUGCCGCUGCCAGGAGCUGCCGCUCCUGGGAGAUGUAGUUUGUCAGCAGACUGGUGCCGGGUGCAAUGGCCGCCGGGGAGGCACGGGCUCGGAGCAUGUGAGGUGCUGCCAGAGGAAUUAUUUGUGUUUUCAUUUCCACUUCUUCAGAUGUUUCUGCCCUGA
This 372-nucleotide long non-coding RNA is filed under the name Apteryx owenii (little spotted kiwi). RNAcentral describes it as "lncRNA (ENSAOWG00000017849.1)". Lineage: Eukaryota; Metazoa; Chordata; Aves; Apterygiformes; Apterygidae. The record is from RNAcentral.